AUGAACGCUAGCUACAGGCUUAACACAUGCAAGUCGAAGGGCAGCAUGAACAAAGCUGCUUGUUUGAUGGCGACCGGCGCACGAGUGCGUAACACGUAUCCAAUCUGCCCGCGGCUCGGGGAUAGCCCAUCGAAAGAUGGAUUAAUACCCGAUGGUGUGGUUUCUCCGCAUGGUGCAUGCCAUAUUGGUUAAAGUUAUUCGGUACGGGAUGGGGAUGCGUCUGAUUAGGUAGUAGGCGGGGUAACGGCCCACCUAGCCGACGAUCAGUAGGGGUUCUGAGAGGAAGGUCCCCCACACUGGAACUGAGACACGGUCCAGACUCCUACGGGAGGCAGCAGUGAGGAAUAUUGGUCAAUGGGCGCGAGCCUGAACCAGCCAAGUAGCGUGCAGGGUGACGGCCCUACGGGUUGUAAACUGCUUUUAUGCGGGAAUAAAGAUAUCUACGUGUAGAUAGUUGCAUGUACCGCAUGAAUAAGGACCGGCUAAUUCCGUG
RNAcentral lists this ribosomal RNA (493 nucleotides) under uncultured bacterium. Its description in RNAcentral is "bacterial SSU rRNA". It matches the Rfam family "Bacterial small subunit ribosomal RNA", at positions 29 to 507 of the family's 1533-position model. The record is from RNAcentral.